CACGUAGGCACCAAGCGUUGUCCGGAUUUAUUGGGCGUAAAGAGCUCGUAGGCGGUUCAGUAAGUCGGGUGUGAAAACUCAGGGCUCAACCCUGAGCUGCCACCCGAUACUGCUGUGACUUGAGUCCGGUAGGGGAGUGGGGAAUUCCUGGUGUAGCGGUGAAAUGCGCAGAUAUCAGGAGGAACACCGGUGGCGAAGGCGCCACUCUGGGCCGAGACUGACGCUGAGGAGCGAAAGCAUGGGUAGCAAA
This 250-nucleotide ribosomal RNA is filed under the name uncultured Acidimicrobiia bacterium. RNAcentral's name for it is "partial 16S ribosomal RNA". It matches the Rfam family "Bacterial small subunit ribosomal RNA", at positions 524 to 772 of the family's 1533-position model. Lineage: Bacteria; Bacillati; Actinomycetota; Acidimicrobiia. The record is from RNAcentral.